GACGAACGCUGGCGGCGUGCCUAAUACAUGCAAGUAGAACGCUGAAGGAGGAGCUUGCUUCUCCGGAUGAGUUGCGAACGGGUGAGUAACGCGUAGGUAACCUGCCUGGUAGCGGGGGAUAACUAUUGGAAACGAUAGCUAAUACCGCAUAACAGUAGAUGUUGCAUGACAUUUGCUUAAAAGGUGCAAUUGCAUCACUACCAGAUGGACCUGCGUUGUAUUAGCUAGUUGGUGAGGUAACGGCUCACCAAGGCGACGAUACAUAGCCGACCUGAGAGGGGGAUCGGCCACACUGGGACUGAGACACGGCCCAGACUCCUACGGGAGGCAGCAGUAGGGAAUCUUCGGCAAUAGACGGAAGUCUGACCGAGCAACGCCGCGUGAGUGAAGAAGGUUGUCGGAUCGUAAAGCUCUGUUGUAAGAGAAGAACGAGUGUGAGAGUGGAAAGUUCACACUGUGACGGUAUCUUACCAGAAAGGGACGGCUAACUACGUG
This 495-nucleotide ribosomal RNA is filed under the name uncultured bacterium. Its description in RNAcentral is "partial 16S ribosomal RNA". It matches the Rfam family "Bacterial small subunit ribosomal RNA", at positions 28 to 507 of the family's 1533-position model. The record is from RNAcentral.